UAUACAGGUAGGGGGAUAUUAUACAGAUAGCAGUAUAUUAUACAGAUAGCGGUAUAUUAUACAGAAAGGGGCAUAUUAUACAGAUAGGGCAUGUUAUACAGAGAGGAGAGUAUUAUACAGAUAGGGGGAUAUUAUACAGAUAGCGGUAUAUUAUACAGAUAGGGGGGUAUUAUACAGAUAGGGGUAUAUUAUACAGAUAGCGGGAUAUUAUACAGAUAGGGGUAUAUUAUACAGAUAGC
Non-coding RNA from Pelobates cultripes (western spadefoot toad), 239 nucleotides. NCBI's taxonomy places the organism in Eukaryota, Metazoa, Chordata, Amphibia, Anura, Pelobatidae. The record is from the annotation of a GenBank genome assembly.